Pelobates cultripes (western spadefoot toad) is the source of this 24440-nucleotide non-coding RNA. The record is from the annotation of a GenBank genome assembly. NCBI's taxonomy places the organism in Eukaryota, Metazoa, Chordata, Amphibia, Anura, Pelobatidae.
AAGGGGUGAAAAGGCUCACAAACCGGAAUUGAAGUGUGAUGGCACCCAGUAACUGUGUGUGAAGGUAUGCACCAAUCUUUCUGUGUGCUUUGCAGGGAGUUUAGUCUGUAAUUCACACUUACAAAUGGAGCUACUGAGCAGUGGGAUUUUUGACAUGACAAUUGCUCGGCUGUGGCAUUCUGUUUGUUCUAUAUUGUUAUCUGAUUUGUAUUGUGAGCCAACUUAAAGCAUUGCUUUUACUUUUUUUUUUUAACAAGAGAUAGGGUGGUGGGGAGAGAGAGAGAGCAUGUUCUCAUUUCUCAGCCCAUCUAAACUAAUUGUACAAGAAUCUUUAACUUAGCUCCUCUCUGUAUGUGUGUGUGUGUGUGUGUGUGUAUGUAUGUGUGUGUGUAUGUAUGCAUGUGUGUGUAUGUAUGUGUGUAUGAUAGCUCUGUGCUUGUAUCUUGUAAAUAAUUACAUAAUACCUCAUUAAAAUUAACUACUUUUUUGUGUCAUGAUUUUUUUUUUCAUUGUGAAGUUAGAAAUUACUGGUAUUAUUUCUAGUGAAACAUUGUAUUUAGAUUAUAUUUUAUACGAAUCAGUUCUUUUAGGUGUGAAAACUUUAUAACUUUUUUUACUGAAAAUAUUCUUUUAUUAGUACAGAUAUUUCAAUAAUGUGUAGAUAAACUUCAAGGUAAACAUGGGAUUUUUUAAUAAUAUGUUAGUAAUGUGUUUAUGUGCAUUUUGAUGCUUUGUGUUUGUUUUUUUUUGUUUUUGUUGUUGUAUAUAAAUUACACAUCCAUGCGUUAUGAAUGUAUCUAUUUUACUUCUGUAGCGCUAACAGGUGUGUUAACAGUUUGCUGGUUCCAUUAAUCAGGAGGAGGGGCAGUACGAGCGGUGCUAGUUAGACAGACACUAGAAUAAGGGGGGCAAUGCUAAUAUAAAGUUUAGGAGAGGAAGUCUCUGCACUGUACAAUAUAUAAUCUAAGUGAGGAAUAGGAGGUAUGCACGAGAGAGAGACUGACAUGGCAGACACAUAGACAGUAUUGUAAUAUAUAUAUAUAUAUAUAUAUAUAUAUAUAUAUAUAUAUAUAUAUAUAUAUAUAUAUAUAGUAUUAUUAUUAUUAUUAUUAUUAUUAUUAUUAUUAUUAUUAUUAUUGGUAAUUAGUAAUUAUAAUCAUUUAUUACUGUUUUGGUUGGGAAGGCAGCGUUCAUUAUCUCCAAUAACCCUUUAGCAGUUGUUAAUUGUAAUGAAUACCUGGAGCUCGGUUAGUUAAUGGCUGGUGUUUAACAUUUCACAAUGUGUUGAUCUGUGAACAGAUAGCCAUGCAAUUCCUUUCACUUUCAACAAGUGUCAAGUUUUUAAGUUUUUCAGAGACUAUGAUAUAAAGAGUCCCUGUAUAUCCAUACACAGUCUAUAUAUACACAUACACACACACACACACACACACCAAUAUACAUUCAAUAUAAAACUGAAUUUUUUUGGGACACUGAGGACAUAAGAAUUCUGUAAUUAUUCAAAGCAAAGAAUAGCAAUUUUAAUUCUCCUAGCUUGGUAUGGAAGUGCCUGGCUUAAGAUUUAUUCGAAGAAGCAGUAGUGAUUUGUAAUUCAAUUUUAAUCCAAUGAAAAUAUAAUGCAAUAAAUCAUAGUUCUGAGGUGCAAGGUGUUUGUAUGACGGACACACACACACACACAGACAGACACACACACUGACACGUUACCGACACAUACAGUGCUUUAAUAGAAUGAAUGCUGGGGUUGUGUGGGGUCUGCAUUGGAGUAAAAUGAAAUCCCAUUUUAACUCCCCUGGGGUGUCUCUGAUAAUCCCCAAUCAUUCCAGCUCAUAGCAGCAACAUAUGUACAGUACUUAGACAGCUGCUGUGUGAGCCAGAUGUGCAGGCUUGAAAAGACUCAAACAGCCGACUGGUUAUAAAGGACACAAUCAGUGCUAGAGCAAAUCCUAUCUAUUCACGUGUUUUAUCAUACAGCGUCUACCAGCAAAAGGCAACCUGACCAUUAAUCAUUGCUGGGCAUGCUGUGAUUAAUGUAAGAAAAACACACACACACACACACACACACACACUCAUAUACAAACACCACAAAAUAUUGUAUUUAUUUCACCGUAUUACAAAUUUAUAUCAGUUAUUUAAAGGAGGCAAAAAUGAAUUAGUAAUUAAUAAUUGAUGCACAAUGAUACAAAUCUGCUGUAUAGACAGUCACUAUAAACAAAAAAAAAACAAAAAAAUUCAUGUACAAUUCUAUCUAUCUAUCUAUCUAUCUAUCUAUCUAUCUAUCUAUCUAUCUAUCGUCUAUGUCUAUCUAUCUAUCUAUCUAUCUAUCUAUGUCUAUCUAUCUAUCUAUCUGUCUGUCUGUCUGUCUGUCUGUCUGUCUGUCUAUCUGUCUGUCUAUCUAUCUAUGAAAUUAUACUAUGGAGUUAAUUGUCCUAAUAUAUCUAAUCCCCAAUAAGAAUUUCAUAGAGGUCAGACUGCAGGUACUGGCUUUCUAAAUAUAUUUCAUGUUGACUGAAUAUUACAAUUGACUUCCAUUUGAACAGUCUGCCAGAACCCCACAUCCUGUGGACAGGUGUAUCAUAAAAAAAGCAUCACUAAAUAUUAGUAUUAGCUAGUGAGGUCAUUUAAAUUACCGGUAUAGUGAUCUGCACCUUGCACUGAAUCUAGAGAUCAUUUUUCAUCUAUAUGAUUUAUUGUAUAUUCAUUUUACCAUCAUUUUUUUGGUACUGUUCUUUGUUUUAGGAAAGACCAUCAGAGUGUAACAAAAAAAAAAAAGUCCCUUUCUGUGGAAAUUAAAAAAUACAUAGUGAAUCAGGUUAUCCUAAAAAAAAAUACAUUAAAAAAAUUAAAUAAGAAUAUCCUGCUAGACAUAUUUAACCUCAGCGUUUCAUAUAACUGCAUGAAAAAAAAGUGUUGUUUGUUAGAACCAGAAAUAAAUACAAAAAUCCAUUUAAAAUAACUUAUUUUUAAUUGACAAAAAUGUGUAAUAUUAAAAUGAAGUAAAAAAAAAAACAAAAAAAACAAAUGUCACUGAUAUAAAAAAAUAUUCCUGUAAUUAAUAUUUUUCCAACUGUGCUGAAAAAAGUGAAUUCUAUCUUAUAGAUAUUUUUUUUACAUGAACCUGGAUAUUAUUUCACAGACAUAAAAUACACUUUUGCAACCGUUCUAAUACUAAGAAACACAUGAAACCGGAGGGAGACAGUUAAUUCUUUAAAUUCAGUAUUUUUAAGCCCUGAUGGGGUUCCACACAAUUAAAUGAAAUCCAGCAAAAGAUGUGUUGGGACAAUCAUAUCAUUAAUGACAGUUAUUUUUGCUGGUCAAUAAAUCACCAAAUCGUUACUUAAACACGAUGAAUUUAGGAGAUUAAACAAUUUCAUUAAUAUUGAAAUAGCUACCAGGAUCCAGAUUAGUUGCUUGAAAUGCAGAAUCACGUUUUUCAAUAUUAACAGAAGCACUUGAGCACUAACACAAUAUGACCUUCUAAAUUCAGGUAUAAAAAUAUAAAAUAAAAUAAAAAAAUAUAAACGAAAAAUGCAAAUGCAGAUAAAUUCGAUCUGUUUAUCACUCGUUCUAUGCCUGAGAAUUUUAUCUGCAACCCUCAAACGUGCCCAUAUGACUCUGAAUUGUUCUACUUUGUCAGAUGAAGGGUUAAUCUGACUUGCACCUUAACAAAUGUCUGUCAUAAAUAUAACUCCGAAUAUAGCAAUAGGGAUUUGAUUAAGGAUUAGAGUGAAUUAACUAUGCAUUAAACAGCAGAAUUAAAAGCAAGCCAUCAUCAAUUGCAGGAGUGAUAGUUUAAUUGAAUGCUUUAAUUUAAUUAUAAUAUUAAAAAUACAAAAGAAAAAAUAUUAGUAGCAUUAUUAUUUUAAGUAGAUAAAUUGCUUGCCCCCUUUUCUCUUGUGUGAGGUAUCGUUCACAAGGUUUGGCUGAAAUCAAAAGUUAAAGUAUAAAAAAAAGUAGGAUUUUUUACAUUUUUAGAUAUUAAUUAAUUACAAAAAUCGGACAUGGCUGGCUUUAUAUUUUGUUUAAAAAUAUUUUUUUACAUGAUAUGGUGAUAUUGCAAGAUUAAGUUAUAACACAAUAAAAAAACAAUCUACUGUACUUUCUAAAACACUACACACACACACAUUAUUGGAGUAAUAGGUUUCUGAUUUUUUUUGCAUAAUUGUAUAGACUCUGUUAUGUUAGAUACAUUUAACUCUGGUAAUUGCAUACAAAUUGUCCAAUUCUCUGAAAUAAAAUAGCAAUUUAAAAAAAGCGACCUCAGUUAUUUGGACACAGCUUUGUGUGUCUGCGUCUUUCUGUUUGUGGGUAUGUCAGUGUGUCUGUGUGUUCGUUAGAAUGUUAGAAAAAAAAUAUAUAUAUCAUAUUUUAAUAUAAAUUAUAUUUAUUUAUUUUAUAUAUAUAUAUAUUUUUUUUUUUUAAUUUUCCAUAACCUUACCGAUUCAGACAUAUAUAUCCACUCAUACAUACAACCGUUGAGUAAUAAGCUAAACCCUUGAUUCUCUGUGCUUGCUUGAGGCACCCACAAAAGCAAUGUAAAUGUGCAUCAUUUAUUUAUUUAGUGUGUUUGUUUGGGUUUGCUGUUAAUCAUUGAAAUGAAGUGCAUGUCAAAUGAGUGUAUAAGGGGUUUUAAGAGUGAAUGCACCCAUUUGUAAAGAAAUGCAAAAGAAUUUAAAGAAAAAGAAAGAAAAAAGGAAAAAAAAGGCCCCCUUUUUUGGGAGACUCAUUUAAAUAAGAGGCUUCAACAGUUGUUGGGAAAAUGGGCAUAAAUACACAUAAGUCAAUUAUACCAAUGUGCAAAAAAGCAAACGGGGAUCUCUUUGCACCAAGGCUGUAUUCAGCUCUUUGCUCACCAUCAGUAAAGCUCUGCUUUCUGCAUGAAAGGAUAGCAAUAGACCCCUUAAAAAAAAAAAAAAAAAGCAGGACCCCACACGUUUACAGAUUUGGUAAUAAUUUAUGCUAAUUUCCCUCACAUAAAUCCACAAUUCGUUUCAGUAGCAUACAGACUGCUCAGAUAGGCAAGAAGAAGUAAAACACAAUGGUCCUAACACAAUAUUGGUUUUCAUUCCUUAUGGUGUGAGUGCAGGUGUGAUGUAGUAGAAAGGUUUCAGGAUUUAAUCUAUAGUGCCAAGUAAAAAAAGAAAUAAAAUAAAAUAAUCCUCUUUUAUCACAUAUGUUAAUAUUUACUAUAUAGGAAUGCAGAUGAGUUAAGCAGAUUUACUUUUAGUGUCUUUUAGGCAUCUAACAAUGAAUAGUUCAAAACCAGAUUUCGCAACUUUCAAAUAGUUCUUUUCUCAUUUGGAGUAAAGUCUUAGAUUAUAUUUGAUGAACUUACUGGCUGCCCCUCUGUUUACUUAUUGGCAGUGAAAAGGGAGCUGAUAGAAUUAAGUUCGAGACUGAGUUUUCUUUGUUUUGCUGAUAGUUUUUUGAGUUUACCAAAGUGAUAUUUUUUUCUCCUUAUGGGAAUUUAAGGCAGUAAAGGGAGUCCUUUUGUUUCCAACAAUUUUACCAAAUUAUUUUCUCUCACAUCAACUGACUAGGAUUGCAUUCUGUCUCAGCAAACCCAAGGACCAAUUACAUUGCACUCUUAUAGUUUAUUACACAUAUUUGGUGUAGUUCAGACAUUCUUAUUCUGUUUAUGUUAAUAUUAGAUGGAAUGUAUUGGUAUUUAUUUUUGAAUUAUUUUAUAUCGAAAUUCUGAGAAUACAUUAGGACGAAAUAGCAAUUUCAGUAAUAAAAAAGAGCAAUUCUGAAAUAUAUUUUAAAGAAGAAUUGAUGUUUAAUAAAUGCGUUUGUUAACAGUAACACCAUAUUUAACAACACAGAAAGCUAUUAUAACAUUAUGAAAGAGAAGUAAGUUUCUGCCGAAAUAUGUGUUCAAUUGAAAAAAAUAGUUAAAUUAUCUAAGAUGGACAAUUUUAUUUUUUAAUGAAUGAUGUUUUGGCCUUUUUUUUUUCUUUUAAAGAUAUUUGGACUUUAUAACAACUCAAUGUUUAGUUGAUAUAAACAAUAUAUCUAAUUUCCAAAUGGGGUAUUUUGGGAUACAUUCAAUCAAUUGUGUAACAUUAACAUCAAUGCAAACAAACACUAGUUGUACUUCCUUAUAUUAAUAUCACAAUUGCUUUUCCUUUUUUUUUACUUGGAAGAGUGGCAAGUCAAUUUUUUCAGCCUUCAGUAUCACAAGAAUUGAAAUGUAAGAACUCCCAAUAAACUUCCAGUGUUUUGUAUUUAUUCACAUUGAUCUUUUUUUUUAGGCAUUACGCUGCCCGUGAAACAUGCAUUAUUAGACUUAAAAAUUGUCAUAUGCAUAAAAAUAUUUUUAUUCAUUAUAAUCAUGUUUUUUUCCUUUAUUAUUUUCAUAUCAGAUUGCAUUCUGUGUGUUUGUGUUGUUGUACGGAUCAAAUAACGGCCUUCUUCCUUAAAUGCAAAAUAGCGUUGAUUUAAAAUUAAUAGUGCAACUAUAUUUAGCUAAAUUAUUUACACUGUCACUAAAGCUGAGCUGGGGAUGUUCUAUAAAAAAAAAUCUAUUUUUGGUUAAAUAUUGCAAUUUAGUUUUCAGUACACUGCAAUUUGGUGUUUACUGAAUGAACUGCAAGGAUUGCAGAAUAUUAUAUUUUCUGGAUGUAGGUAAAUUGUCUUCGGUACAUAAAUAAAAGAUAACAUCAUCUACUUAAAAGAGGAAACGCCACAUCUCUGGAAGUCACACCAUUGAAUUAAACAUUAAAAAUCACCUGUAACUUAUGUUAAACUUUUUUUAAUGUUAGGCUCCAUUUUCUUUAAAAUCUAUAUCAAAGAUUUAGCAAAUGCCAUCACAAUUCAGUUCAGACAAGGCGAAGAUAGAAAAAAUAGAAACCUUGUUUAAUGUAUCGUCCUCUCUUUAUGCUUUAUCUAUGGUAUCUUGUAUGAAAGACAAAAAACGAAGGAGACCAAUCGUGUAGAAUUUAUGGACCAAUAUAUGUGAAGAGAAAGAAAUAUAUAUAUUCAACUCACAUUUAAAAGAGCUAUAGCCAGCUCAGGUGUGAAGGGCAUACAGCGGUAUAAUCCCAGUUUAUAAGAUAUGUGGUGGUAGUCUUCUGGAAAGGGCGAUGUCCAACACUCAGGAGAAGGGUAUAUAAAAAACAACUGAUAGUGCUCUCAGUGUAUAUAGGGUAUAAAAUGAACGUAAAUAAAAAUGUACUUACAAGUAUAGUGCAGGCCAACUGCACUAUGAUAUCAGCGUUGGUGGUAUGAUCCACACCUCGGAUAAACUUGUAGUCACACGAUAAAAAUAUAAAAUACAUAAAAUUGUGUAUAAAAAAUACAAUUGGCACAGAGUAGUAACCAAAAACCUUUUAAUUAGAUAAAAUACACAAACAAUAUUACCAUUACGCGUUUCGCCACUAGGACUUUUUCAAAUGGGAUAAAAUUAACAACCUGGCUAGUAGGGGUUUAUAUAGGUACAUCGUAAUUUAAAAAUUGGCGCCAAAAUGACGUCACUAUUCGGCAGCCAAUAGAAUAAAAACUUAUAUAACAAAUUAGUAAAUAUAAAUAAAAAAACUUAUAUUCAAGAUUAUUCUGAACUGUGUCUGUUUUAGUUAAAAUCGCUUAAAAAAAAAAAAGAGGUUAGAAUACUUUAGAUUACCUAAGGAAAGCGAUAUUGAGAUCAUUGGUGACAGUACACAUAGUAUGCUGGGAGAUGUAGUGUAAACCUAGCGAGCGAGCGAUGCGUCUCAUGAUAGUGGAUAUGAGGUGCACCAUGGGGACUGUAGUAUAGUGUAUAACUUGGUGGCUAAGCCAAAAAUGGGGUGGAGUAGUGCGAGAAUGGAAGAACAGAGGAAAUAGUAUCGGGCAGAAUUACACAGGAAUGGUAGAAAGUUGAUGCGAACUGCAUCAUGGGGAUUGUAGUUUCAUUAGAUGGCAAAAAGAAAUGAAACAUAAUAGAAAAUAAACUAUAAGUAGGGCUAAAUAGUAAAUAGGUGACUAAAUAUAGGGGAGAAUUGUGCAUCUUGGGAACAGUAGAAGUACAAAUUACACAUACAUUUUAAAUAUUUUAAAUAUAUUAUAUUAUUAUCAUAUUUGGCGCAGCACUUCAUUACUGUUUUUUGUGUUUUAAACUUUGUAUAACUGUAGGCUACCUUUAUAGUUAUUAUUAGACUUGUGCAUGGUGGAAUCACUGUGCCUGAAAAGAAAAUUUAGUUUGGGAGUCUACUAAUUGUCCAUGUGUCGGUUCAGCGCUUCAAAUACUGUCCGCACAAAAUAUUUGGGAAAAACAGUUAAGAUGAACUAAAAGGGUGCAAAAAUGGUCCUAUCGGUGUACUUAAAAUAUAUACAUAAUAUAAAUAUUAUGCAUGUUCCUGACAUUUGGAUCAUAGAUCGAGUGAGAUAAAGUAACCAAUAAAGGGGGAAAAGGAGGAGCAGUAAAAAUAAAUAAAUCUAUUUUUACAUAAUAUAUAUAUAUAUUUCAUUAUUUAUUUAUAAAAUAUUUUACCAGGAAUGAUACAUUGAGAUUUCUUUCGUUUUCAAGUAUGUCCUGGGUCCACAAAACAUUGCAUUGUUACAAUAGGGUUCAAUAUUACAAAAAAAUACAAUAUAUAUAUAAAUAUAUAUAUAUAUAUAUAUAUACAUGCAUAGAGCACCCCUAUACUGCAGGUCUGCCCACCUGGGUGGUGAAGUUCAUUAUUCUUCACCCUGGACUAUAAAAAAAACAAACAAAAAACCUAAGAAGGCAGUGGGGGUGUAGCUUAAUGAGGUAUGAAGGCGGAGCUAAAAGGGUGGUGGGGCGGAGCUUAAAGCACCCGAUAUCCUUAACCUCUGCACAAGAAGUGGGAAGCAGAAUGGAGACCCUGCUUUCCCAACUACCAGGUACCAGGAACUGCAGUGCCUCCACUCCUCACUCCAGUCCAUAAUGGCAAGAGAUAAGUGUGUACAUGUGUGUGACUGCCUGUAACUAUGUGUGUGUGACUGUAGCAUUGUAGGACUGUCUGUAACUGUGUGAGUGUGACUGUCUGCCUGUAACUGUGUGACUGCCUGUAACUGUGUGUGUGUCUGUGUGUGUGACAGUCUGCAACUGUGUAUGUGUGUGUGUGUAACUGCCUGUAAGUGUGUGUGACUGGACAUAAUAUUGUGGGUAACUGCCUGUAACAGUGUGCCACUGUCUGCCUGUAACUGUGUGUCUGUCUGUAACUGUGUGUGUGACUAUCUAACUGUGUGUAUGUGUGUGUGUAUUUAUGUGCCUGUAACUGUGUGUCUGUGUGCCCGUAACUUUGUGUUUGACUAUCUAACUGUGUGUAUGUGUGUGUGACUGUCUACUUGCAACGGUGUGUGUGACUAUCUAACUGUGUGUAUGUGUGUGUGACUGUCUAACUGUGUGUAUGUGUGUGUGACUGUCUGCCUGUAAUGGUCUGUGUGUGACUGUCUAACUGUGUGUAUGUGUGUGUGACUGUCUGUCUCCAACUGUGCAUUUGUUCCUGCCUGCAACUGUGCAUGUGUAUAUGUCUGCCUGUAACAGUGUGCGUGUGUGUGACUGUCUGCCUGUAAUGGUCUGUGUGUGACUAACUGUGUGUAUGUGUGUGUGACUGUCUGCAACUGUGUAAGUGUAUUUGUCUACCUGUAGCUGUGUGUGUGUGUAUCUUUGUGUCUGUAACUGUGUUUGUGUGUCUGUCUGUAACUGUGUGUGUGACUGUCUAACUGUGUGUAUGUGUGUGUGACUGUCUGCCUGUAACAGUGUGUGUGGCUGUCUGUAACUGUGUGUAAGUGACUGUCUGUCUCUAACUGUGUGUGUGUGUGUGUGUGUGACUGCCUGCAACUGUGUAUGUGUAGAUGUCUGCAUAUGACUGUGUUUGUGUGACUGUCUGCCUGUAACUGUGUGUGUGUGACAGAUUCACAGCACACUGGACGACCAGAGAUCAGCAUGCCUCACUAUCUGCAGGGUUCCAACAGGAAAGGGGGAAUUAAUAUUUGUUUUAAAAUAAUAAUUAAUUUAAUAUAUCCCAAAUAGAAACACUUCACCCCUACACACACGCUACACAUAAUGAAGAGGUAUGAUUGGAGGGGGGGGGAGGAGGAGAGGCACUGUGAAGUUUUUUCGCACAGGGCGCCUAAUAGCCUAAGACUGGACCUGAUUCCAUAAUUGCGGUGCACUGUAGUAAAAAUGAAGGUCGAGCCACUUUAUUUUUGUAUUUUGCGGUAUGCUAAAUAAAGUGCUGGUACUGGAUCAGAGGUUAUAGGAGGUGGGAACAGCUGGAGAGAGCAUUCUACUAAGGUAGGGUGGGAUCUUUGGAGAAAGGCUCUUAUGCACAAGGCUGGAAAGAUGAAGAGUGCAUCGGGAUUCCAGCGAUCGCCAGUUCAGCUCUGUUAACAUGUCACAAUGGUGGGUAAAGUAAUUACAUUCUAGUACAAAGCUGCAGAACUAAUUAUAUAAUGUAUUAAAUUUAUGAAGGUGGGUUUGCAAUGCAGGUGCAUAUACCACAUCCCCAUAAUCAAUGACCGGCAUUAGCAUUUGUUGCUCUAUCUGUUUCCUUAGUGUCGGGCUUAGGCAGGAUUUGUUUCUGUACAGGGCAACAAGUUUUAGAUAGAGUUUAGAAGAGAUUUUUUUCAAUGUGAAGGACAAAUGAUAGAUUGGGGUCUAGCAGCAUACCUAGAUAAUUGAAAGAACCAACUGCUGUCAGUGUGCUAUUUGAAUUUGUUUUGAUACUCAGUUGUUGAUCUUGUAGUUUACGUAAUUUAGGUACAGUUCCAAAGAUCAUUGUAACAGUUUUGUCAGUGUUUAGGAAGAGUUUGUUAUCCGCUAUCCACUUUUCUACCUCUGUGAACUGGUUUUGAAGCAUAUAUAUGUUUAUUAUUUUUUUACUGCACCUCUUUUUUUCCGUUUAUUGGUCACUUCUCACUUGAGCUGUGACUAAAAUCUAAACUUAGUGGCCGUUUCCUAAUGAUUAAUCAUAUUUUUUUUCCCAUCAAUCAUUUUUUCUUUCACCCCACGAAUGGAACGCUGAAGUAUGAAUCGUAUGAAAAUGCUCGUCAAUUGCUAGAGCCAUUUGUUCAGUUACGCAUCCAUAUUGCGCUUUAGAGUUAUGGAAUUUGGACAACCCACCAAUCGUCCUAAAUUCAAAUGAAUUGCAAUUCAUCCAAAAACAAUUACACAAGUCAAAUUAUUAUUGAAUGUAUUAAUAUUCUAUUAUUUUUUUAAUGGAGGGUGUUGGAUAAUGAGGGUGUUACUACCCAUGGAUGUUGUGCUAUACAGGUUGCACUUCUAAAUGUCUUGGCAUGGAUUAAAAACCUUUAAGGGUCAAUAAUAAGUUUUUUCCCCUUUUUUUUACAAACACUGAGUUAUGGUGAGUUGACACUUGACCUAAACAAAAUGUAAAUAAAGAAGAAAUUCUAGAAACAGGGUUACUAACUAAAAUGAGAAUUCAAAAUUAAUUAAAAGUGAAUUUUAAAUUUAAGGUCAAAAUACGUGAACUGGAAAAAGUCACCUCUGCUUUCGCAUCAACUACUCUGGCCUUAAAUUUGAAGUUCAACUUAAAAUUUCACGUUGGUGAAUAACCCGGACUAUCCUCGGAUCUUCAGAAAUUGGAAAAUUGUUUGAAUUGUACUAUUUUGACCAGAUUUAAACAAGUCGACAGGUCCCCUUAUUUAAUUUUCUAGUGAACAGAGCUCUCAGUGUUUUUGAAAAUAUUUUGAUAUUUUUCAGGUAAACUAUCAAAAUGUAGGUGCCUCUGGAUAAAAUCACUCAUUAUUUUGAUCAUGUGGAUUCAUUUGAUUUAAUUGCUAAAUCAACUGUAUCCAUCUUCAGAACUUUCAUCUUAAUUGGAAACUGAUCGUAGUAAUACUUUGUUUAUAUUGAUACAUGCAAUAUUCUAUAUAUAUAUUUGCUCUGAUAGAAUAAGUUUAAAUAACACAGUUUUCUGGAUAUUACAUCUUUCGAGUAAACCCUACAUUAAUAAUACAUAUUAUGAGGUAGCGGCUUAAUGGGAAAUAUUUACUAAACAUUUUUAAUUACUCAAUUUACAUAUUAAUCAUUAUUUGCACUUGUGCAUACUCUUAUUUACUAAAGUGAUCACUUAUGUAUAAUACAUUUUUGCUAUUUGCAUACAAUUAUGCACAUAAAAUGUUCUACAGUCAAUUAUUGAGCAGGCUGUUCAUACACAACAGAGAAAUAAUUCAUCUCUAUUUAUUCCCUUUAUGUACAGUCAGUGGGUUAAAUCAGGAAAGAUGCAAGUUAUUUUCAGAUUUUAUAGAAAAAAAACAAAAUUGACAACUAUAUGUGUUAUUUUUUAUGUGUGUUAAAAUAAAUGUUGCUUAUCUAUCUAUCUAUCUAUCUAUCAUUCUAUCUAUCUAUCUAUCUCUUUCUCUCUCCCUCUCUCUUUCUCUCUCUUUAUCUAUCAUCUAUCUAUCUGUUACGGCUCUCCCAGCAUAAAGGGGUUAAACCGCCGUUUAGUAGAGUUCCCCUUUUUGUGGAGGUAUAGGUACAGCUACUGUAGAACCCCAACUCCCGAACUGGAACCAGGGAAUGCUCCAAACUCCUGAACGGUAAUCUCACAAAUAGCUGCUAACGGACGAACACACACAGCAUUCAAGCGGCUUACAUUCCCAGCAAUCAGUCUCUAAUCGCGUUCAGUAAAUCCCCUCAAUCACGAGACCAAGCUCCGUAUUGAGGGUAAAACAGGAUUCUGGUUUAUUGAGGGCUACCUGCCCGGCAUUUAUGCAGGUCUCCCACCUGGCGGACACUCCCCUUGGGGACCAGAUGGAAGACUGUAACACAGACAGACAUGUAUCACAUUCGGACACACAGAAGUAAAACAUCCCCACAAUGCAUCCUAAUUUCCCUCCCUCUAUCCUGGAGAUAAUUGGGAAGUAAUCCAAUUAUCUCCCACAACAUAGGCAAAUCGCCAUUAUACACGUGGGGACACAGAGACAGUAAAAUACAUUAAAACAUAUAAUAUUACAUUUACUACACCAACCCCAUACAUGUCACAUAUCCCCAGAUAGCUUAGAUCUGAGCGCACAUAACCACCGAAUAGCGCUCAGAUCACACACAUACAGUUCAAUUGCCAUGGAGCCAAAGUCUUUAAUUACAUGAAUAGGCUCCAUGGCAUAGCUAUCUGGGUUAAAACAUUCACUUAAGUAAAGUCCCGAUCAAUCCAGAGUUCAUUUAAACAACCAAAAUAGAAGCAGGCGAAGGCUGGAGGCUCAGCGGUGCCUGCACGUAAAAGUAUCCGCUUUUAGUGCACUGAUUCUGGACUGGUCACUGCUGGCUGUCCGGGGAGCUCCAUAACACCGCCACCGGGUGGUGGCUAUGUGUAAUCGCGACCACCCAGUACAGUCAAUUAAGCUGCGGUUAACCGCAGCUACUGGGUGAUCAAUUGACGGCACACGCUAGCUUCCCGGUGGCCUCGCCUUUGUGCGGCUUUCGGUAGUGUAACAGGGGAAUACAUAGGGAUUGUACAGGCAGGGAAAUAAACCGAACUAUAGACAAAUGGAGGGAAAAUAAAUGUAAUCCAUAUACAGACAGUUCUGUUACACUAUCUAUAUAUAAAACAUUAAGAAAGAGAACACACAGGACUUCUUCAUAAAUAUGCUACUGCUUUUACUGAAACAGACUCUGUGCAAACAUAAAUCAAAAUUGACAAUUCAGUCCUACACUAGACUUUUAUCAAGAUAUCAAAUACUUGUGCAUGAUGUCCAUAUAUGUGUGUGUGUGUGUAUAUAUAUUUAUAUAAACCAGAAUGUAGGUAUGAAGGCACUCACUUUUAUCCAAUCGUAUUGAAGAAGUAAAUCGUUUGGUUAUAAAGGAACAUAAAUACAAUUUAAAUGCAAAGAAGGAAUGGGCACUCGUAGGACUUUCACUUUAUAAAAAAGUAAAAAAGAUUUUAAUUGUGCAGCGUCAACGUUUUGGAGACACUUGUGGUCCUUUCUCACAACCUUGAGAAAAGGAAUACCAGUGGGUCUGAAAUGUUGGUUAGCUACCAAAAACUGCAGUACAUUGUAGGACUAAGGGGGACAAGGACACUGCAUCCAGACCACUUCAAUGAGUUGAAUAUUAGAAUUUGGAAUCAAAAUAUUUACAGUGAAUUGUUGUUUUAGUGAUUUUUCUCCAAGAUAACAAAUAAAUACUAGUCAGCACACCAAAAUAAGAAAGAUAAAAUGUAAUCACAAAUUCAACAGGAGCAGCAAUCUUACAGGGUCUUUAAACCUAAGAAUAGCCUGAAGGAAUAAACCCAAAGUAAGUGGCGAAUCACCUAUACACAGUGAUAAUACUAAAGACACAGUGUAGCACUAAGAGUGUAUCAAUAGUGCAUAGAUAAAAAUCAAUAUAAUAUAAUAUAAUAUAUAUCAAACAAUAUAAUAAAGUAUCAAACAAAAAUAAUAGAAUAAGUAAUUUAUAAUAAUAAAUAAGAAAGAUAAAAUGUAAUCACAAAUUCAACAGGAGCAGCAAUCUUACAGGGUCUUUAAACCUAAGAAUAGCCUGAAGGAAUAAACCCAAAGUAAGUGGCGAAUCACCUAUACACAGUGAUAAUACUAAAGACACAGUGUAACACUAAGAGUGUAUCAAUAGUGCAUAGAUAAAAAUCAAUAUAAUAAAGUAUCAAACAAAAAUAAUAGAAUACUAACACAAUCAAAAAACUUAUAAUCAAUAAGAAAAACUGCCUCGGAACAGCAAGCCACGGGUAUUGUGUACUCACAACACCCUCCAUAGGGGGUGCCUCACACAGAUGAAGCUCCAGAGUCAUGGUAAGUCCCAUUCAUGCCAUCCACCAGUCCUGAAUAAUUUGUGCCAAAGGUAGGGUGAGGAUAUGGGGACAGAAAGGAUCUGCUGAAACCACGCAAACUAUAAAAGGAAGGCGACUGGCUCCGGCAGUCUACUCGGCCUUUAUCUGACCUCACCGGGUUGGGGGAGCACACCAAUCUGUGCACCCGUAUACUCUCCAUACUCUCCAUACAACGGCCGGAAGCUUCAAAAAAGGCCACGGUGAAAUUAAAAGGACAGCUCCGCUAGAAACCUCACGGACUUGAAGUCUAUGAGUUUCGUCCCACUACAGGACUUUCUCAAGUUGUUUUAGUGAUUUUUCUCCAAGAUGUCUAUUUUACAUGAUUUUAAACAAAUUAAAAUCUUUGUUAGUAGGUGGUCUGGGGAUCAUUCUUUCAUUCAUUCAUUCUUAACCUUCUUUGCCUGAAGACAAGUCAUUGAUUUGCCUUUUAUUACCUGCCUGGGUGCUUCUUGACAAGAUGGUUCUCUGUGUCAGUUCAAGAUGGGUUAAGUCAACAUUUUGCAUAUCUGCGGAAGUCUUUUUUUCCAUCUUCCUUUACAUUUAACAAACAUGGGCUGACACAAGACAACUGUAUUCAACUGAGAUAAGACAACUUGUUUAACGUGUUACCCUUUUAAAUUUUAUUGACUUUUGAGUAUAUACUCCCAUUUCAGUUCUAGAACAUUAUUUUUCAUAGACUUAUGCAUUCAGUGUCACACUGCGAUUGAACUGAAUUUUGGGCAGUUUAUCCGAAUUCUGUAACUCCAAAGUGACAUAUGGAUGUAUACCCAAACAAACAACUCACACAAUGGAUGAACAUGUUCAUUUCAUUCCAUUCAUGAUUCUGAGUUCUGUCUGUUUAGCCAAAAAGAGAUGAUUGAUUCGAAAAAAAGAUGAUUUAUUGUUAAAGGACAUUCACUAAAGGUUGAUUUUAUUCACAGAUUAAGUAGGAAGUAACUAAUAGAGGUGGAAAAAGCAGUUAAAACAAUCUAUACUUUUAUAGAUAUGUAUAUUAUACAUCUAUAUAUAAAAUCUAUGUAUAGAUUUUCUGCUUCUACUCCUGUUUUGCUUGUAUUGGAUAUUUCGUUUCACGUGAUCUGUGAGCUAAAUGACAGGGAAAUGCACCUAUUGGUAAACAUCAAAAUAUAUACAUCAUUUAUAUAAUAUAUAUAUUUUGCAUGGUUGAAAUUAGUUUGAACUGAAAAGUCACAUGAACGAAUUUCAGACAACCCAAACGUUUUUCAGAUGAGUCGAUUUGGCUGAACCAAUUUUUUUUUUUAAGUUGCACAAGUCUAAUUUUUAAUAAUAGAGAAACAAUUUUCUUUAUCUAGAAAUUUUUUAGGAAACAUGUUUCUUGAGGAUUAAAAAGUACUGGAGGCAAAUUAUGUACUUUAGACUUUGCAUAAAUAAGUAAAAUAUGAAUUACACCACCACUUCAGAUGUUUGUCUGCUGCUAGAGUCAUAAGUUUUCUCCAUCCUCAGACAUCCGAUCUUCAAGUGACUCUACAACAACAAUUAAAUCCACUGAUCCUAAAUACAUGAUAUUUCUUUUUACACAAAAAAUCGAUAAAGCACAAAUAUUAUCUAUCAACAGAAUAUGUAGAUUUUGGAAAGUUUGAAUUCAUAAGUAUCAACUGCUGAAUACACACACACACACUGGUUAACACACACACAGAAUGCAGAAUACAUACAGGCUGUUGUAUACACACAGGCUGCUGAAUACAUACACAGGCUGCUGAGUACACACACACAAACUGCUGAAUACACACACAGAAUGCAGAAAACACACAGACUGCUGAAUACACACACAGACUGCUGAGUCCACACACACAGACUGCAGAAUACAUACACAGAGAUAACUGAAUACAGACAUACUGCUGAGUACACACAUAGACUGCUUAUUACACAAAUACAGACUACUGAAUACAUACACACACGCUGCUGAAUACAUACACACAGACUGCUGAAUAGAAAACACAUACUGCUGAAUACACACAUGCAGACUGCAGAACACAUAAACACACAGUCUGACUGCUGAAUACACACAGACAGACACAGGGGUGUUGUGUGUGUGUGAAGGGUGCUAUGUGUAUGUGACGGGGGGUGUGUGUGUCUAUUGUAUGAGAGGUGCUCUAUGUGUGUGUAUGAGGGGUGCAAUGUGUGUAUGUAAAGGGUGCUGUGUGUGUGUGAGGGGUGUUGUAUGUGUAAGGGGUGCUGUGGGAGUGUGUGAGGGGUGCUGUGUGUGUGAGGAGUGGUGUGUGUGUGAGGGGUGGUGUGUGUGUGUGUGUGUGGCGGGAUGCAGUGUGUGUGUGAGGGGUGGUGUGUGUGUGUGUGUGCACAUGGUGCUGCAUGUAUGUGAGGGGUGCAGUAUGUGAGGGGUGCAGUGUGUGAGGGGUGCAGUAUGUGAGGGGUGCCAUAUGUGUGUGUCUGAAGGGUGUUGUGUGUGUGUGUGAGUGGUGCAGUGUGUAUGUGAGGAGUACAGUGUGUGUGAGGGAUGCUGUGUGUAAGGGGUGCAGUGUGUGUGAGGGGUGCUCUGUGUGUAUGUGAGGGGUGCAGUGUGUGUAUGUGUGAGGGGUGCUGUGUGUGUGUGAGGGGUGCUGUGUGUGUGAGGAGUGGUGUGUGUGUGAGGGGUGGUGUGUGUGUCUAUUGUAUGAAAGGUGCUCUAUGUGUGUGUAUGAGGGGUGCAAUGUGUGUAUGUAAAGAGUGCUGUGUGUGUGAGGGGUGUUGUGUGUGUAAAGGGUGAUGUGGGAAUGUGUGAGGGGUGCUGUGUGUGUGAGGGGUGCUAUGUGUGUGUGUGAGGGGUGGUGUGUGUGUGGUGUGAUGCAGUGUGUGUGUGAGAGGGGUGCUGUGUGUAUGAGGUGUGCUGUGUGUGUGUUUGAGGGGUGCUGUGUGUGUGUUUGAGGGGUGCUGUGCAUGUGUGAGAGGGCGCAUUUGUUAUUUUUAAUUAAAAUAAAUUUUUUAAAAAACCCUCAUACCCCCUUCCCCCACCCCCCGCACCCUUAUCCUUACUUUUGGUGAAGGAGGGGGACUCCAGUGGUAAGUAGUGAUGAGUUGACCCUUCAUUAGUGAGAGGUAGGAACUGUGAGGCAAUUUUUCUCUGCUCUAACCCAGCAUUCUGCUCGCGGGAGGAGGUAAGACAGCCUGCAGCCAGAGGAGCUGCAUCUUCACUCUUCACGCAAGCAGAAUUCUGUAUUGCAGCAUUGCCGUGGCAACGCUCUGACACAGCAUGCUCAUGGGAAAAACUGCCUCCCAGGUCCUACCUCUCACUAACGAAGGGCCUUUGGGAUACCAGCACAGUCAACGUGGAUCAAGAAAAAUUACUUCUCUAACUGCUAACUAACAUUUCCAUGACUCUUGAGAUGUAGGUAUAUACUAGCUAAAAUAUAAAUUCUUCUAAAACAUGUUUUUUCCCAAGCAGUAGAAGAUAUACACACAUCUGCUGCCUGUGGUUGAUGCUUAGAGAGUUAGUCGAAAUCAAUGGCACCUCCACACUUUGGUAGUACUCGUUAUAUGUUGCUUUAUGUUGUUAUGAAACGUGUUAACAAUCUGCACUCGGAAUCAGGAAACAAAAAAUUCAGAUGAAUCGCAAAUCAUUUGAAAGCAAGAACAAGUGUAGUACAAAUCAGAGGCCAGCUAACUUGAUACACUACAGAUUUGUAUAUAUUUUACAAUAAGGGAUGUAUUCAGAAUGGGUCUUGAGCACGAUCAAAUAUAAUCACUGCCUCAUGUUAAUUCUUGAAGCUAGGGAACUUGACACUCCUUUAAUUUAAUGGACUACCAGUGUGGGGAAUUAAAAAACUUCCAUACAUAAUUCGUAGAUAAACCAGCUAACACUGAGAACCAUAUAUAAAGUAGAUAAAACAUUGUUGAAGUAAAACAUAAAGCCAUCAAAAGUAUUUUUUUCAUAGAGAAAUAUGUAUAGAACCCAAUCAGCAGACAGUGAAGCCCAGCAUCCAAGGCAGGGGCGGUCGAUCACAGCAACCAGACAACUUUCGUAGAUAUGCCAGCUAACACUUACAACCAUAUAUAAAGUAGAUACAAGCCAUGUUGGAGUAAAAAGUAUAUUUUAUUGAGAUAGUUUAAAAACAAAGAAGAAAAGCAACUGUUAAGUAUUGUGCUGCUAUGUCCCCUUAUUGUCUAUGUGCCUUUUUGUUUUUAAACCAUCUCAAUAUAAGAAACGUUUUACUCCAUCAUGGAUUGUAUCUACUAUCUACUAUCUUCUAUAUAAAAAAAAUUACUUUUGGUUGCUUCUGUGUUAUAUACCUAUUGGAGCUAUUUCUGAUGCAAGUCUUGCUGGACUCCAGAAUGUUUUCUGGAUUCUUUUGUGAAUUGAAAAACCUCCACUACAUUUAAAAGCUGGGACCAUAAAGGAAAAUAAACACUACACAGAAAAUAUAGGAAUUUAUUCAGAAUGUUCCUUCUCUUCUCACAGUCUUAAUGAAAAUGUAAAAUACAAUUUUUUUAAAGUAUGAUUUAAUUUGCACUAUUUUGCCCUACUCGUUUUGUUCUUCUGACCUUUGCUAGUCCCCUUGUUUCCUCUUUUUUUCUCCCUGUGUUUUUAAUAUGGUUAAUGCUAAAUAUUUUGUGUAUAUGCCAAUGGGACCUGCUGUUGUGGGUUCAGGAUUAAUAUCAGAGUAAUGCACUGGUAGAAAUAGGCCAACCACUGUGUGAACCAGACCAUUUAUAUAAAUAUAUAUUACACUUUGCCUUAUUUAUCAGGGGUAGAAUAAUCAGCUAUAGUAAGACGUAUUGAGGUGAUGACACCAGAAAUGAUCUAAUAUUCAUUAAAAGUUAAAAGUAAACUCUUCAAGUAUGUGCCUUGUCAACAUCUUGUCACCUCUAAAGUUUAUCAUAUUGCAGCCCUUGCACGUGUACAUACUGUAGAAGGUGGACUCUUCCAUGACCAGGAAAAGGCUCCAUCAAUCCAAUGCCUCACAUUCUGCGCUAUGAAUUGUUAUUCUUAACCCAUGAGCCUCUGUCCAUUGUUGUUCCAAACUGAAAUCUGAGUUCCACUUUGGAGACAAGAAGGAUUUUUUGGGGACAAAAUUGGAAACCAUUUUGAAAUGAUUUUCUCUCAUUCUUUUGGAUCAAUGCAAGAAACAUGAAGAUAUGUGAACAUUUGAAUGUAGUAGUUCAGGCUGUAUUACCAUGGAACUAUUGUGAGCUAUUGUCUUUGUUCAGUCUGUAUUACCAUGGAACUAUUGUGAGCAAUUGUUUUAUUACAUUUUAUGUAUUUGCUUUAACCUUUUAUAUAGCCAUUUAUUUAAUUUUGUAUCCAUACACCAUUGACGGCUAUGGGAAACUGAAAUAGUAAAAUAGUGAUACAUUCUUUAGAAGUCAAUAUAGAUAAUGGCUUUGAAAUGUUUUGCAGGUUAUGUGACUGAUGUACCUGAAAUUUAAGCACUAAAAAAGAACUGAAGUUGCUGGUGUGUCUUUAAUGUUGAAAAAAAAUCACAAGAAGCCUUACUGAAAAUAUGUAAUAUAUUUAAACUGAACAACACCAUAGUCCAACCUGCACUAGAACUGGUACAGGACUUAGCUCUAAUGAAUGUGUUACACUUUGAAUGGGGUGUUUAUUUCUUUUUUUAUUUUUCACUACCACUUCUGCACAGAAUUAGCACUUAUGGAUGAUUAUUAGGUAGCUAGUUCAACUUUAUGUUCUUUUUUGUAUCCCUCAUCCAUUGGGCAGAGUCUUGGUGAUAUUUUGCUUCUCUUUUCACAUUAGCCUAGUACUACAACUAGGGUUAAGUAUAUGAUUUUGACCACCAGUUAUAGUCCUUCUAGCUUACAACUUUAUUUGAUCAUUUUUCAUUUUUAUGUCUCUUAUACAAACAUCUUCUGUCCUAUUCUCAUAAUCAAAUAGAUCUACACCUUUUCCUAGAUGGAAAUAAACAAAAUAUAGGAGGUAUCUUCUUAAAGACUUAUUUAGGUACCAGGUUUUCCUGCUGUAUUAAUGUCAUAUUAGAGGAAUGCAAGGUCAGAUGACUCAUUGCAUAUCCAUGAAUGAAGCUCUCUAGUGCAAACUGUAGUGGUUAUGGUGCUUGGAGUGUUCCAUUACUGGCAGUUAGUUGUACUGUUUUAUGAAAGGAGCAAUGGUGUACGAGAUUAAGAUUCAUCACUACAUGUUUAUUUUUUGUUUUUUUAAAGUAUUCAUUUAUUUAAUAAAUUAAGCUAACUGUGAUCUAUACAGCUUAUGGUAAGAUGAUGACAGCUGUACUAAAAUGCUGUAUGUACGUAAGUCGCUGUAUAGAGAUUUAAGGGAUGCACACAAUACUUUCAUACAGAGUUUUCAGAACAUCAAGAAUGUUUGUAGUACUUCAGCAAUGUCCUAGUGUGUGGAGAGUUCACUGCAGUAUUUGUUGUAGCCAACAAAGGAACUUCAAAGGUGAGUAUAUUUUCUUUGGGUUAUUUCACUUGAAUGCAUUAUCUAUACAGACAACUCCAGCCUGGGCUGUCUUUUAAAGACUCCUAGAGGCCAUAGGUGUUACCAAAUUUUGUUUUGUGUUCAAGGAUCCAGACAUUUUUCAAAACCUAAUAUCACCCCUGGUGGUAAUUAGUGGGUACUGUAAAACACAUAUGCUACUGUUAAAGGAAUAUAUGCUACAGUGCAGCGCUUAUCUAAUUGGCUGAUCUAAUUAUCUACAGAGCCACAGCUGAUAGAUCAACAACUUGCGCUCCUCAAGGAGAGCAGCACCCAGCGGACCCCAGGUAAGAAGUACAUCCAUUCCAGAAUGGUUUGACUACUCAUAAUGGUGGAGGGGACACCAGGGCUCCAUUUGCAUCAUGACCACUAUAGCGAGCUGUUGUGGUUAUGGUGCUUAGAAUGUUCCUUGAGUGCAGUGUUUGCUUGCCAUAAGACUUUAUUUUGUUUUUAAUAACAUGUUGCAGAGUGGCUAAAAUGAUCCUGUGGAUCGUUGUCAUCGGAUAAGUUGUUGAAACUACAUAUAUUUUGUAUAGAUUUUACACAAAGAGGAUGUAUAAAAACAAAUCCUUUCUUCCCUGCUGGAUGAGACACGGGAGUUCUUUGAUUGUAUGACUGCUGUCACCUCCCUAGCAAACAGAGAUUAUUGACUAUUGACAGGAAUUAAGCAGAGCUGUUUGUCCAGAGACCUGUUACUACAUACAAACCAAUUUACUGUCAGUGUGACGAUGGUGACGAUGUUACAUAGAAGCAGAGCAGCUGUUACCUUGCGUAUAUGUCCUAAGCUGCUCAAUACACUCUUUCUCCCCAUUAAAUUGUACUUGCUAAAACUCACAGAAACUUAGGUGAAACCAGUGUGUGAAAAAAAGUGAACAAAACAUGAGUUCAAAGAGACCACAAACAAAUUGAAUCAACAAAAAGGUAAUUAACAGGCAUUUAACAGAAAUGAAGAGGAAUGUCAAACACCAAAACUAGUGCCGUUUCAAAAGUAAAUAUUCUAAUACUUUUUAUUUAAUGGAAUGUCUUUAUCUGUACUUAAUUGGACACUAUAAAGCACAUUAAACGUGCUCUGGAUGGAUUUCAUUUAUAAAAAAAAAAUCGCUAACAAAUAGAAAACACUUUUAAUUACUACUUAUUUUUUUGCUGUUGAUUUGAAAACUUGUCAACGUUUUUCAAAUUUAUGGACCGGAAGUACAUUGCUUAAUUGUUUAAUCUCCCGAUUCAUGAUUGAUUUAGCACACGCCUCGUCCACAGUUUUCAAAAAGUUAACUAUAAAAAAAGCGUAUUCCUAAAGCAUCUAGCAAAGUUUUUGGUCUUGCUGUGUGAAUACUGAAUAGUUUUGCGAUGUAAUUUGGAUAUUAGAAUAACAAUGUCAUAAUAUGCAAAUGGAAACUAUGUAUUAACCCUUCAAAGUAUUCCAAGGGUUCCAUUUUCACAAUAAUAAUCAGAAAAUAUCAGCCCAUGGAAAUAGGAAUUGCUAUAAAAACUUGCAAAAAAUGUGCAUUGAUUUAAUAGUGAAUGCAAUCAAAAUGAUUUUGUGUAGUUAAGUUCUGCUUUUAAUAUAAUAAUGAAUCAGGAAAGGUGUGUUCAUCAUUCACUAAUAUUUAAAUAUGUCCUUGGGUAUCGAAGCUACUAUUUUGAUGAUUAUUAUUAUUAUUAUUUUAUUAUUUAUAUAGUGCCAACAAAUUCCGUAGCGCUGUACAAUGUACAAUGAUUGGUACUUUAUAUCUGUGCAGGGUGGGAUGAUAGCGGAGACGUAAUGCACGUUUCAUAUUCGUAAAUGACUCCUCUCAACAUUUACUACAAAAAAAUAUUGUCCUUGUGUCUUCAAUGCGAACUUCGACUGUCUGUUUUAAAUUAUAGACAAUAAUAUCGAACAAUUAAGAGUUGUAUAUAAAGGGCCAACUGAUGUAGGAUUAUGAACAGUGGGAAGCUGAUCCUUCUUGAAAACCAUCAAAUACAAGUUUCCACAUUUUUCCCUGUUGGAAAUAUUCAGACGCAGAAGAUGCCAGCUUGGUAGUGGAUGGGGAUUAGCUUCCUCCCAGCCCUAACUCCAGUGUUAAGGCAGCAGUAGAUCAACUGUAUAAUGUGUGCACUGUUUAGCCAUUUGUACAAGCAGAACAAAGGUUGAGCUUAGCCAAAUUGCAUUGCACUUGUGAACUGAGUCCCAAUUUGAAGUAUCUUUUACAGCAGGGGGAAUGAGAACAAUUUUGUGUGUGUCUAAAAAAAAAAAGGAAUGAUAAAGCCACUUUCUAGAGCAUCUCAAAGUGAAGUAGUGAGGCGUGACAUUCCCAGGGUGACAUGGGACAAUGGCAGGGUCAGGUGGAUGAAAAAGAGAACCAAACAGCCACUUUCACAUGUCUGCCCUAAAGUGCUGCACCUCUCCAUAAUAGAAAACAAAUGUUGUAAAAAGGGGGAUUGCUCCAAUUCAUUUAAAAUGGCAAAUGAUAGCUAAACAACAUUGUCAAAACGGAAUCAACGUCUAUGCAGAGCCACCCAGAAUAGGCCUUUGUGUUUGAUUUUAUGAGAGGCUGCGUCACUUUUAACUCUAGUUAAACAUUUGAAGAAUUCUCCCAAGAAGAUCUGAAACCCCUCUAAGAGUUUUAAUCCGAUUUCCAUAUAUUUCCCCCCUCACGUUUUCCAGAAAAGUUUUUUUCUGCAAAAAUUAAAACAUUUUAAAAAUAGACCUGCUGUCUACAUUUUUACCAAAUUCGGUAAAAUAUUUAAAUUUAAAAUUUGACAAGUAUUUUUUUUAUUUUUUUUUUACGGAGUCCUUUAUUUAAUUAUUGAGAAAUUUAAAGUGUAUUAUUUUGUGUUUUUCAUGUUUUUUUUCUUUAUUAUUUUAUUUUAAACCCAGCUGAAGGGAAAGGAAAACAUUCUUGGUUAUAGUUUGCUGGUCUUUUUGUCUGCUUGUUUUAUCCAAUGUAUUCUGCUAAUCAUAUACAUGGUUUAAGUAUACCAACAGUAUAUUAUUGGCUCUUCAAAAGGUUAAUAGAACUUCAUUCAUUUCUUUCAACUUGCCUCCUUUUUUUCUCUCUCAUCAGUAUAACACAGCUCUGCCACCCACAAAGCUGGCGAAAGAGGUCAUGUGAUUAUAACUAACCUCCAGUCAACCAGAGGAUGGCUAAUUCCUGAUGUCUAAAAGCAGCAUUGAUCCCUUUCCAAUGAAUGAUCUUCACAUUCAGCAAAAAUCAAGCACUUUUCUACGGGAAAGAAAGAGGAUGCUUUUAAAUACUGUGAACAUGAAAGACUUUAAGACACAAAAUAGAUUUUAUCCAUCCUGAAAUAUUCCAGUGGAG